RNAcentral lists this microRNA precursor (95 nucleotides) under Podarcis lilfordi (Lilford's wall lizard). The record is from RNAcentral. Lineage: Eukaryota; Metazoa; Chordata; Lepidosauria; Squamata; Lacertidae.
GCGUGUGUGCGGCUCUUGGGGGCUUUUUCCCGAGGGGGGAGAAGGGCUGCCUUUCUCCCUCCUCGGGGAAAAGCCCCCAAGAGCCGCACACACGC